GAUGAACGCUGGCGGCGUGCCUAAUACAUGCAAGUCGAGCGAACAGAUGAGGAGCUUGCUCCUCUGACGUUAGCGGCGGACGGGUGAGUAACACGUGGAUAACCUACCUAUAAGACUGGGAUAACUUCGGGAAACCGGGGCUAAUACCGGAUAAUAUAUUGAACCGCAUGGUUCAAUAGUGAAAGACGGUUUUGCUGUCACUUAUAGAUGGAUCCGCGCCGCAUUAGCUAGUUGGUAAGGUAACGGCUUACCAAGGCAACGAUGCGUAGCCGACCUGAGAGGGUGAUCGGCCACACUGGAACUGAGACACGGUCCAGACUCCUACGGGAGGCAGCAGUAGGGAAUCUUUCGCAAUGGACGAAAGCCUGACGGAGCAACGCCGCGUGAGUGAUGAAGGUCUUCGGAUCGUAAAACUCUGUUAUUAGGGAAGAACAAAUGUGUAAGUAACUAUGCACGUCUUGACGGUACCUAAUCAGAAAGCCACGGCUAACUACGUG
RNAcentral lists this ribosomal RNA (497 nucleotides) under uncultured bacterium. RNAcentral's name for it is "partial 16S ribosomal RNA". It matches the Rfam family "Bacterial small subunit ribosomal RNA", at positions 28 to 507 of the family's 1533-position model. The record is from RNAcentral.